RNAcentral lists this ribosomal RNA (2904 nucleotides) under Escherichia coli. Its description in RNAcentral is "23S ribosomal RNA". It matches the Rfam family "Bacterial large subunit ribosomal RNA". Lineage: Bacteria; Pseudomonadati; Pseudomonadota; Gammaproteobacteria; Enterobacterales; Enterobacteriaceae. The record is from RNAcentral.
GGUUAAGCGACUAAGCGUACACGGUGGAUGCCCUGGCAGUCAGAGGCGAUGAAGGACGUGCUAAUCUGCGAUAAGCGUCGGUGAGGUGAUAUGAACCGUUAUAACCGGCGAUUUCCGAAUGGGGAAACCCAGUGUGUUUCGACACACUAUCAUUAACUGAAUCCAUAGGUUAAUGAGGCGAACCGGGGGAACUGAAACAUCUAAGUACCCCGAGGAAAAGAAAUCAACCGAGAUUCCCCCAGUAGCGGCGAGCGAACGGGGAGGAGCCCAGAGCCUGAAUCAGUGUGUGUGUUAGUGGAAGCGUCUGGAAAGGCGUGCGAUACAGGGUGACAGCCCCGUACACAAAAAUGCACAUACUGUGAGCUCGAUGAGUAGGGCGGGACACGUGGUAUCCUGUCUGAAUAUGGGGGGACCAUCCUCCAAGGCUAAAUACUCCUGACUGACCGAUAGUGAACCAGUACCGUGAGGGAAAGGCGAAAAGAACCCCGGCGAGGGGAGUGAAAAAGAACCUGAAACCGUGUACGUACAAGCAGUGGGAGCCUCUUAAUGGGGUGACUGCGUACCUUUUGUAUAAUGGGUCAGCGACUUAUAUUCUGUAGCAAGGUUAACCGAAUAGGGGAGCCGAAGGGAAACCGAGUCUUAACUGGGCGUUAAGUUGCAGGGUAUAGACCCGAAACCCGGUGAUCUAGCCAUGGGCAGGUUGAAGGUUGGGUAACACUAACUGGAGGACCGAACCGACUAAUGUUGAAAAAUUAGCGGAUGACUUGUGGCUGGGGGUGAAAGGCCAAUCAAACCGGGAGAUAGCUGGUUCUCCCCGAAAGCUAUUUAGGUAGCGCCUCGUGAAUUCAUCUCCGGGGGUAGAGCACUGUUUCGGCAAGGGGGUCAUCCCGACUUACCAACCCGAUGCAAACUGCGAAUACCGGAGAAUGUUAUCACGGGAGACACACGGCGGGUGCUAACGUCCGUCGUGAAGAGGGAAACAACCCAGACCGCCAGCUAAGGUCCCAAAGUCAUGGUUAAGUGGGAAACGAUGUGGGAAGGCCCAGACAGCCAGGAUGUUGGCUUAGAAGCAGCCAUCAUUUAAAGAAAGCGUAAUAGCUCACUGGUCGAGUCGGCCUGCGCGGAAGAUGUAACGGGGCUAAACCAUGCACCGAAGCUGCGGCAGCGACACUAUGUGUUGUUGGGUAGGGGAGCGUUCUGUAAGCCUGUGAAGGUGGCCUGUGAGGGUUGCUGGAGGUAUCAGAAGUGCGAAUGCUGACAUAAGUAACGAUAAAGCGGGUGAAAAGCCCGCUCGCCGGAAGACCAAGGGUUCCUGUCCAACGUUAAUCGGGGCAGGGUGAGUCGACCCCUAAGGCGAGGCCGAAAGGCGUAGUCGAUGGGAAACAGGUUAAUAUUCCUGUACUUGGUGUUACUGCGAAGGGGGGACGGAGAAGGCUAUGUUGGCCGGGCGACGGUUGUCCCGGUUUAAGCGUGUAGGCUGGUUUUCCAGGCAAAUCCGGAAAACCAAGGCUGAGGCGUGAUGACGAGGCACUACGGUGCUGAAGCGACAAAUGCCCUGCUUCCAGGAAAAGCCUCUAAGCAUCAGGUAACAUCAAAUCGUACCCCAAACCGACACAGGUGGUCAGGUAGAGAAUACCAAGGCGCUUGAGAGAACUCGGGUGAAGGAACUAGGCAAAAUGGUGCCGUAACUUCGGGAGAAGGCACGCUGAUAUGUAGGUGAAGCGACUUGCUCGUGGAGCUGAAAUCAGUCGAAGAUACCAGCUGGCUGCAACUGUUUAUUAAAAACACAGCACUGUGCAAACACGAAAGUGGACGUAUACGGUGUGACGCCUGCCCGGUGCCGGAAGGUUAAUUGAUGGGGUUAGCGGUAACGCGAAGCUCUUGAUCGAAGCCCCGGUAAACGGCGGCCGUAACUAUAACGGUCCUAAGGUAGCGAAAUUCCUUGUCGGGUAAGUUCCGACCUGCACGAAUGGCGUAAUGAUGGCCAGGCUGUCUCCACCCGAGACUCAGUGAAAUUGAACUCGCUGUGAAGAUGCAGUGUACCCGCGGCAAGACGGAAAGACCCCGUGAACCUUUACUAUAGCUUGACACUGAACAUUGAGCCUUGAUGUGUAGGAUAGGUGGGAGGCUUUGAAGUGUGGACGCCAGUCUGCAUGGAGCCGACCUUGAAAUACCACCCUUUAAUGUUUGAUGUUCUAACGUUGGCCCCUAAUCGGGGUUGCGGACAGUGUCUGGUGGGUAGUUUGACUGGGGCGGUCUCCUCCUAAAGAGUAACGGAGGAGCACGAAGGUUGGCUAAUCCUGGUCGGACAUCAGGAGGUUAGUGCAAUGGCAUAAGCCAGCUUGACUGCGAGCGUGACGGCGCGAGCAGGUGCGAAAGCAGGUCAUAGUGAUCCGGUGGUUCUGAAUGGAAGGGCCAUCGCUCAACGGAUAAAAGGUACUCCGGGGAUAACAGGCUGAUACCGCCCAAGAGUUCAUAUCGACGGCGGUGUUUGGCACCUCGAUGUCGGCUCAUCACAUCCUGGGGCUGAAGUAGGUCCCAAGGGUAUGGCUGUUCGCCAUUUAAAGUGGUACGCGAGCUGGGUUUAGAACGUCGUGAGACAGUUCGGUCCCUAUCUGCCGUGGGCGCUGGAGAACUGAGGGGGGCUGCUCCUAGUACGAGAGGACCGGAGUGGACGCAUCACUGGUGUUCGGGUUGUCAUGCCAAUGGCACUGCCCGGUAGCUAAAUGCGGAAGAGAUAAGUGCUGAAAGCAUCUAAGCACGAAACUUGCCCCGAGAUGAGUUCUCCCUGAGACUUAGAGUCUCCUGAAGGAACGUUGAAGACGACGACGUUGAUAGGCCGGGUGUGUAAGCGCAGCGAUGCGUUGAGCUAACCGGUACUAAUGAACCGUGAGGCUUAACCUU